Pseudovirgaria hyperparasitica is the source of this 81-nucleotide non-coding RNA. The record is from the annotation of a RefSeq genome assembly. Lineage: Eukaryota; Fungi; Ascomycota; Dothideomycetes; Acrospermales; Acrospermaceae.
GGACCCAUAGUUCAGUGGUAGAAUAUCUGAUUCCAGUUGCGGGUUUCCAGAAGGUCAAGCGUUCGACUCGCUUUGGGUUCA